Molecule: ribosomal RNA, 861 nt
Filed under: Triticum aestivum (bread wheat)
Lineage: Eukaryota; Viridiplantae; Streptophyta; Magnoliopsida; Poales; Poaceae
Description: partial small subunit ribosomal RNA
Source: RNAcentral
AUGCUCGACGUGGACCCCGCCACCGAGGAUCCUGCCCUCCUCGACGCCAUCAGGAAGAAAAACAGCGCUGCUCUGAUCUCCAUGCUUGAUCCCCGUGAUGAGCUCUCAGCGGAAGACAGUACAAAUGCAGCUGGUGCUGUUUGGUAUCUCGUCAUAAAUGGCAACCACAUAACUCGCAAUCUGAAUCUGCUGACGGACCUCACGCCUGUGUGUGACCGUUGGGUCCGUAAUCUCUCUGGGACAGGCCCCCCGAUGCAAGUCUGCGCUCGGGGAUCGGUGAACUGUAACAGGAUCAAGCUUGAUGACGUAUGGUAUGUUCCUGGGGUCACCGAUAAUAUGAUGGCGGUUGCCCAUCUUACCCGUACCAAUAAAGAACUUAAAGUCAGAGUGGAUAGCGAUGGCUGUUCUGUUGUGCGGCGUGAUGGUGCUGUAGUUGGCAGAGGGCAUUCCAAGAACGAUCUGUAUGAGCUCGACUUUCUUGACGCCAUUAGUGGAUCUUCUUGGUACAUCGUCUCGAAUGCUGCUGAACACAUGACCGGCAACCUGCACCUCCUGACGAACUUCACUCCCACGUGUCUGGGCCGCUCAGUCCGGACACACACGGGUGCGAUGCUGCAGGUGCGUGGCAAGGGGUCCCUGAGCUCCACCCAGUUCGCCGUCCCUGGAGUCAGCUACGUCCCAGGGCUCACAGAGAACAUCAUCUCGGUGACCCAGCUCACCGACAGCGGUUUCACCGUUGCGUUUGGGCCCCAUGGCUGCACUGUCAUGAGGAACCGCGACGGGGCUGAGGUUGGCUACGCGUUCAAUGCGGGCAGCCAGCUGUACCGGCUCAACCACCUCAGGGUCGCUGCCAGCAAGUAG